GGAGAUGGGAUUAAAGAUUUUACAGUACUUGAUAAAUCAGCCAGUUCCUCUCUAUUAUACUGUCCUCCAAUGUCCAUCUUCCGUAACUGGUAGUCGGCAGCUUCACCCUUUUAGCAGGCUUAUCCAAGCUUACACUGUAAAAGCUGUUCUCAUCCCCAACUAGGAAGAAUCGCUCUGUAUCAAAGACUUUGGGGACC
This is a long non-coding RNA of Aquila chrysaetos chrysaetos, 197 nucleotides long. RefSeq lists it as uncharacterized. The transcript has 3 exons. The record is from RefSeq and is a predicted model, not a curated record. NCBI's taxonomy places the organism in Eukaryota, Metazoa, Chordata, Aves, Accipitriformes, Accipitridae.